This 170-nucleotide unclassified non-coding RNA is filed under the name uncultured Ascomycota. Its description in RNAcentral is "sequence contains ITS2". The record is from RNAcentral. Lineage: Eukaryota; Fungi; Ascomycota.
CACCCUUCAAGCGUAGCUUGGUGUUGGGCUCCACGUCCAAAGGGACGGGCCUCAAAGGAAGUGGCGGGCAUAUUUCGCCUCCAGCUGCAGUAGAAACUCUCUCAGCUGGGGUGCCAACCAAAUAUUCCUGUCAGUGACACAAAUCUGUGCAGUAACUCUGCACUUUGGAA